CAGUUCAGUCCAUCAUCACAUGUCUUAAUAGAAAUAUUCUAUAGUACACAAGUAUGGUCAUCUAGAGAAAUAUUGAUGAUAUAUUUCUUGAAGGCUAUCAAGUAAUUUCAUGGUAACUAUCAUCAACAGUUAGGACUGCAGCAUAUUUAAUUUAUUAUUAACCUAGCAUCCAAAACAAAUAUCAAAUUCAGGAAUUAAAAAUCCAAACUGCUUUGAGAUAUAAAUUUUAGAAGACAAAUUAUAGAGUGAUGGCAACUAACCCACAAAAUAGAUAUUAGUCUAAUUGUCAAUAAGUCCUUGAGCCUGAAUGGGCUAUUGACUCAUCGAGAGGACUAAAUGUUUUAGUCAAAUCCAACCAGUUGCUUAAAUAUAUAGAUGACAACCAGUUUUGAAUUAAAGUUAAAUUUUAUGUUUUGGUUUUCAAAGCCGGCACUUUUCACUACUAGUAGGAUAUAACUCAUAGCCUAUUAGUAGCUCAUCCAAUCAGAACAUCAUAKUUAUGAUAGACCAUUAGUUGGAUUUGACUAAUACACUUUAGUAGUAUCUGAUUCCACUGUUUUCUUGCAUUUUUUGUAUCAAUUAUUAGACAUUCCAGGAAUCAGAUUUCAUUGCACAGGUUAAAUGCUAUCACUCCACUAAAAUAUAGUAAUAUUGGAAUAUUAAUUCCUGAUUUUAGGGGUUCACUUUGCAGCAGGUCAAUCUUUAUAUGUAGAUUUAGUUUUUCAAGUUCGGGUCAUCCUUCACGACUUUGCAAGAUGUGAUCCUAUUGGAGGGCACACAUGUGUAGAACAAUAGAAAACAAUSACCUUUCCACAAGCCUGCCCCUAMACCUAACCAAUCACAGAGGACGUUGCAAAUUCAUGAAGCCUAACCCUCAAGUUCAUAAGUUAUAAUUACUUUGAGUUUAAAAUUAUCACUUUUCUUUAAUUUUUUGUAAACUUUAUAUUUUAAUUUCCACCAAACAAAAGGGAGAAUUUCUUCUUUUACAUGGAAAAACCCCUUACAAGUCUGAUGUGCCCUAAAAGAAUUUAGAUUUGUUUAAUUGUAAGAGUCUUAAAUAAUAAAAAUAUCUUAUUAAUA
Molecule: long non-coding RNA, 1080 nt
Organism: Actinia tenebrosa (Australian red waratah sea anemone)
Lineage: Eukaryota; Metazoa; Cnidaria; Anthozoa; Actiniaria; Actiniidae
Source: RefSeq, a predicted model, not a curated record